GUAAAAGUUCUCCAUGGCUGUUUCAGGAUCAACCUCUCAGGAACAGGAUUCAGGAUGACAGAUAGCACUAGGUGGAUUUCUGAAGGGAACAACGCCACAGCUGACAUACACAAGUCUCGGGGUGGCAGUAGAGUUUCUGGGAUCUG
This is a long non-coding RNA of Sinocyclocheilus rhinocerous, 146 nucleotides long. RefSeq lists it as uncharacterized. NCBI's taxonomy places the organism in Eukaryota, Metazoa, Chordata, Actinopteri, Cypriniformes, Cyprinidae. The record is from RefSeq and is a predicted model, not a curated record. The transcript has 3 exons.